RNAcentral lists this ribosomal RNA (512 nucleotides) under uncultured bacterium. RNAcentral describes it as "partial 16S ribosomal RNA". It matches the Rfam family "Bacterial small subunit ribosomal RNA", at positions 28 to 523 of the family's 1533-position model. The record is from RNAcentral.
GACGAACGCUGGCGGCAUGCCUAAUACAUGCAAGUCGAGCGAACAGAUGAAGUGCUUGCACUUCUGACGUUAGCGGCGAACGGGUGAGUAACACGUAAGGAAUCUACCUAUAAGCGGGGGAUAACAUUCGGAAACGGGUGCUAAUACCGCAUAAUAUCUUCUUCCGCAUGGAAGAAGAUUAAAGACGGCUCUGCUGUCACUUAUAGAUGACCUUGCGGUGCAUUAGUUAGUUGGUGGGGUAAUGGCCUACCAAGACAAUGAUGCAAAGCAGACCUGAGAGGGUGAUCGGCCACAUUGGGACUGAGACACGGCCCAAACUCCUACGGGAGGCAGCAGUAGGGAAUCUUCCGCAAUGGGCGAAAGCCUGACGGAGAAAUGCCGCGUGAGUGAAGAAGGCCUUCGGGUCGUAAAACUCUGUUAUAAGAGAAGAACAAAUUGUAGAGUAACUGCUACAGUCUUGACGGUAUCUUAUCAGAAAGCCACGGCUAACUACGUGCCAGCCGCCGCCGUAA